RNAcentral lists this transfer RNA (67 nucleotides) under Trixagus sp. TRI01. RNAcentral describes it as "tRNA-Arg". Lineage: Eukaryota; Metazoa; Arthropoda; Insecta; Coleoptera; Throscidae. The record is from RNAcentral.
AAGUAAAAAGCAAUAUUUAUGCACUUAGUUUCGACCUGAGAGAAAGAUAUUAAUUUAUCUUUACUUA